CCUACGGGUGGCAGCAGUCGAGAAUCAUUCACAAUGGGGGAAACCCUGAUGGUGCGACGCCGCGUGGGGGAAUGAAGGUCUUCGGAUUGUAAACCCCUGUCAUGUGGGGGCAAAUUAAAAAGAUAGUACCACAAGAGGAAGAGACGGCUAACUCUGUGCCAGCAGCCGCGGUAAUACAGAGGUCUCAAGCGUUGUUCGGAAUCACUGGGCGUAAGGCGUGCGUAGGCUGUUUCGUAAGUCGUGUGUGAAAGGCGCGGGCUCAACCCGCGGACGGCACAUGAUACUGCGAGACUAGAGUAAUGGAGGGGGAACCGGAAUUCUCGGGGUAGCAGUGAAAUGCGUAGAUAUCGAGAGGAACACUCGUGGCGAAGGCGGGUUCCUGGACAUUAACUGACGCUGAGGCACGAAGGCCAGGGGAGCGAAAGGGAUUAGAUACCCCAGUAGUC
This 446-nucleotide ribosomal RNA is filed under the name uncultured bacterium. RNAcentral's name for it is "partial 16S ribosomal RNA". It matches the Rfam family "Bacterial small subunit ribosomal RNA", at positions 338 to 795 of the family's 1533-position model. The record is from RNAcentral.